RNAcentral lists this ribosomal RNA (253 nucleotides) under uncultured bacterium. RNAcentral describes it as "partial 16S ribosomal RNA". It matches the Rfam family "Bacterial small subunit ribosomal RNA", at positions 524 to 776 of the family's 1533-position model. The record is from RNAcentral.
UACGGGGGGGGUAAGCGUUGUUCGGAAUUACUGGGCGUAAAGGGCUCGUAGGCGGCCAACUAAGUCAGACGUGAAAUCCCUCAGCUUAACUGGGGAACUGCGUCUGAUACUGGAUGGCUUGGAUCCGGAAGAGGGAUGCGGAAUUCCAGGUGUAGCGGUGAAAUGCGUAGAUAUCUGGAGGAACACCGAUGGCGAAGGCAGCCUCCUGGGCCAACACUGACGCUCAUGCACGAAAGCGUGGGGAGCAAACAGG